Molecule: transfer RNA, 85 nt
Organism: Felis catus (domestic cat)
Lineage: Eukaryota; Metazoa; Chordata; Mammalia; Carnivora; Felidae
Rfam family: tRNA
About the family: Transfer RNA (tRNA) molecules are approximately 80 nucleotides in length. Their secondary structure includes four short double-helical elements and three loops (D, anti-codon, and T loops).
Source: Rfam
GCCUGGGUGGCUCAGUCGGUUGAGCGUCUGACUUCAGCUCAGGUCUUGAUCUCACAGUUUGUGAGUUCAAGCCCCACGUCAGGCU